CCGUGCUAGAUGGGGAGGUAGCGGUGCCCUAUAACCUGCAACCCGCUAUAGCAGGAUUGAAUUCCCGGUCUGAGGAUUAUCCUUGUGGGGUCUGCCUCCGAAAAGUGGUGUUGAAGAUUGGGUCCUACGCAACGAAAAUUUGUGAACUCCGUCAGGUCCGGAAGGAAGCAGCGGUAAGCAAAACCUUUCGUGUGCCGUAGGGGAACCUAAUUGGAGCUAACUGGCGGAGUAACGUCCGGAAGGCACAUUCAAGGACGGGUGCACGG
RNAcentral lists this signal recognition particle RNA (266 nucleotides) under Clostridia bacterium. RNAcentral's name for it is "signal recognition particle sRNA large type". It matches the Rfam family "Bacterial large signal recognition particle RNA". Rfam says of the family: The signal recognition particle (SRP) is a universally conserved ribonucleoprotein involved in the co-translational targeting of proteins to membranes. Archaeal SRP consists of a 7S RNA and homologues of the eukaryotic SRP19 and SRP54 proteins. Lineage: Bacteria; Bacillati; Bacillota; Clostridia. The record is from RNAcentral.